GCUUAUGAAAAGUUUUAGACAGAGCUGUUUUGGGCACCUGGUGGGCCUCCAUAAAAUUGCAUUUAGUGGUCAAAUUGUGCAUGCUCUGGCACUCCGGCGAGUCAGAGGACUUGGUGUGAAGGACAUGAUGGGCCUUAGUUAUGGAAUAGUGUCCAACUUGGUUCAAUUCAUUGUAAAGGACUUUUGUUUGAUAAGUUGUCU
This 201-nucleotide long non-coding RNA is filed under the name Prunus persica (peach). Its description in RNAcentral is "long non-coding RNA (PPER_LNC006990)". The record is from RNAcentral. Lineage: Eukaryota; Viridiplantae; Streptophyta; Magnoliopsida; Rosales; Rosaceae.